This 502-nucleotide ribosomal RNA is filed under the name uncultured Glomeromycotina. RNAcentral describes it as "partial small subunit ribosomal RNA". It matches the Rfam family "Eukaryotic small subunit ribosomal RNA", at positions 591 to 1092 of the family's 1831-position model. The record is from RNAcentral. Lineage: Eukaryota; Fungi; Glomeromycota.
CCAAUAGCGUAUAUUAAAGUUGUUGCAGUUAAAAAGCUCGUAGUUGAACUUCGGGGUUUACCCAUUGGUCAGGCUUAAUUGUCUGCACUGGUGAGAUGGAUCUCUACCUUCUGAGGAACUUUCAUGCCAUUUAUUUGGUGUGGUUGGAAAUCAGGACUGUUACUUUGAAAAAAUUAGAGUGUUUAAAGCAGACUAUCGUCUGAAUACAUUAGCAUGGAAUAAUGAAAUAGGACGGACUGAUUCUAUUUCGUUGGUUUCUAGGAUCACCGUAAUGAUUAAUAGGGAUAGUUGGGGGCAUUAGUAUUCAAUUGUCAGAGGUGAAAUUCUUGGAUUUAUUGAAGACUAACUACUGCGAAAGCAUUUGCCAAGGAUGUUUUCAUUAAUCAAGAACGAAAGUUAGGGGAUCGAAGACGAUCAGAUACCGUCGUAGUCUUAACCAUAAACUAUGCCGACUAGGGAUCGGACGAAGUUAAUUUUAUAAUGACGCGUUCGGCACCUUACG